This 492-nucleotide ribosomal RNA is filed under the name uncultured bacterium. RNAcentral describes it as "partial 16S ribosomal RNA". It matches the Rfam family "Bacterial small subunit ribosomal RNA", at positions 29 to 507 of the family's 1533-position model. The record is from RNAcentral.
AGUGAACGCUGGCGGUAGGCCUAACACAUGCAAGUCGAACGGCAGCACAGUAAGAGCUUGCUCUUACGGGUGGCGAGUGGCGGACGGGUGAGGAAUACAUCGGAAUCUACUUUUUCGUGGGGGAUAACGUAGGGAAACUUACGCUAAUACCGCAUACGACCUACGGGUGAAAGCAGGGGAUCUUCGGACCUUGCGCGAUUGAAUGAGCCGAUGUCGGAUUAGCUAGUUGGCGGGGUAAGGGCCCACCAAGGCGACGAUCCGUAGCUGGUCUGAGAGGAUGAUCAGCCACACUGGAACUGAGACACGGUCCAGACUCCUACGGGAGGCAGCAGUGGGGAAUAUUGGACAAUGGGUGCAAGCCUGAUCCAGCCAUACCGCGUGGGUGAAGAAGGCCUUCGGGUUGUAAAGCCCUUUUGUUGGGAAAGAAAAGCAGCAGGUUAAUACCCCGCUGUUCUGACGGUACCCAAAGAAUAAGCACCGGCUAACUUCGUG